CGGGGCGUGGCGCAGUUGGUAGCGCGCAGCGUUUGGGACGCUGAGGUCGCUGGUUCGAGCCCAGUCGCCCCGA
Molecule: transfer RNA, 73 nt
Filed under: Chloroflexota bacterium
Lineage: Bacteria; Bacillati; Chloroflexota
Also listed under: 1 other name
Description: tRNA-Pro
Rfam family: tRNA
About the family: Transfer RNA (tRNA) molecules are approximately 80 nucleotides in length. Their secondary structure includes four short double-helical elements and three loops (D, anti-codon, and T loops).
Source: RNAcentral